RNAcentral lists this ribosomal RNA (253 nucleotides) under uncultured bacterium. Its description in RNAcentral is "partial 16S ribosomal RNA". It matches the Rfam family "Bacterial small subunit ribosomal RNA", at positions 524 to 776 of the family's 1533-position model. The record is from RNAcentral.
UACGAAGGGGGCUAGCGUUGCUCGGAAUCACUGGGCGUAAAGCGCACGUAGGCGGAUCUUUAAGUCAGGGGUGAAAUCCUGGAGCUCAACUCCAGAACUGCCUUUGAUACUGGGGAUCUCGAGUCCGGAAGAGGAGAGUGGAAUUCCUGGUGUAGCGGUGAAAUGCGCAGAUAUCAGGAAGAACACCCGUGGCGAAGGCGGCUCUCUGGGACGGUACUGACGCUGAGACGCGAAAGCGUGGGGAGCAAACAGG